CUACGGGGCGCAGCAGUGAGGAAUAUUGCACAAUGGGGGGAACCCUGGUGCAGCAACGCCGCGUGGAGGAUGACGCAUUUCGGUGUGUAAACUCCUUUUAUAUGUCAAGAAAAUGACGGUAGCAUAUGAAUAAGCACCGGCUAACUCCGUGCCAGCAGCCGCGGUAAUACGGAGGGUGCAAGCGUUACUCGGAAUCACUGGGCGUAAAGGACGCGUAGGCGGGUUGGAAAGUCAGGUGUGAAAUCCUACAGCUUAACUGUAGAACUGCACUUGAAACUUCUAAUCUAGAGUAUGGGAGGGGGAGAUGGAAUUAGUGGUGUAGGGGUAAAAUCCGUAGAUAUCACUAGGAAUACCUAAAGCGAAGGCGAUCUCCUGGAACAUUACUGACGCUAUGGCGUGAAAGCGUGGGGAGCAAACAGGAUUAGAUACCCCCGUAGUC
Molecule: ribosomal RNA, 439 nt
Filed under: uncultured bacterium
Lineage: Bacteria
Description: partial 16S ribosomal RNA
Rfam family: Bacterial small subunit ribosomal RNA
Source: RNAcentral